Tribolium castaneum (red flour beetle) is the source of this 1561-nucleotide long non-coding RNA. RefSeq lists it as uncharacterized. The record is from RefSeq and is a predicted model, not a curated record. NCBI's taxonomy places the organism in Eukaryota, Metazoa, Arthropoda, Insecta, Coleoptera, Tenebrionidae. The transcript is spliced from 2 exons.
ACGACUUGUAGCAAUAUGCGAGAAUUUAAAUAUAAUUUUAGCUCUUAAGAGAUCAGAGAUAUUCCUCUAUCUGAGUGAAUAUAAGAAGGAGUACCAAACAUUGAAAACAAUUCUGACAGUUUAUUUGUAACAGUUGAAGCAGACAUGUCUGAACGUGGAAAAGCAAAUGGAAAACGUGAGAAUUCAUCAACGAUAGUAAGCCUAUAUUGAUUUCUGGUUGUUGAUGGGAGCGGUCUUUUAAAAUCUAUGUUUAAUCGGGACGAGUCGAAUUAGUUCCCAAAUUCUGUAAUCCUCUUUAAUUAUAGUCGAAUUGGUUCCCGGGGAUGGUCGAAUUGGUUCCCGUCAGUCAGGUAGGUCAGGUAAACAGAUUAAAGUAUUAUGAUAACAGAAAUGGCGUUUGUAAGUGUAUGAACAAAUUUACAAGUUCCAAAACGUUCAAAAACAAAACAUAUUUUAACAAUUUAAAGGCUGUGGAUAAAUAUUUCUUCGAGUAUUCAAGUACUUCCAAAACGAUGGAGAAGGCGCAUAGAACUUAAUGGGUACUAUGUCGAAAAAUUUUAAAAUUAUAUUUGUAAUUUGUCUCCAUUUUGACGCUUUAAUAGUAUUAAUCAUGGCCUCCUUGAUGUAUUGAGGCAACUUCGUUGUUCAGGCCUGGCGCAUCGUUAAGUUCGGCUGAUUCUCCACUGGCGCUGCAUUUAGCGGACUGACGUUUAUUUGACAAAUACCAUUUUUGAGGUUAAAGACUAAUAAAUUUGAAAGAUGUAAGUGUGCAUUCGUGAAAUACGUUGAAAAUGUGAGGAUAAUUCUAAAGUUAUGCCCUGAAUGAACGUUUGGAUAGUGUAACUUUUGCAGGAAAUCAUUUUACGAUCAUUUGGAUUUUUUAUUUUCAGCUUCAGAAGAUAUAUAAAUUAUUUUAAGGUGAAUUGAUUGUUCAUCGUUUAUAAGUAUUUUAAGCAUAACCUACGGCACUAGUACGCAGACACAGAUGCAGAGAAAACGAUGUUUCAAAGUACCUUUCAUUUAUUAUGCAUACUCUAUGGUUUUACCAAUGGUUAAGGUUGAAUGCGUUACAAAUCUGUGAUUUUUAAGACAUGGCUUAAGUUUUCUGAAAGUUCUAGUAAAAUGUACAAAGGAAGUCGUUUUUUUCAAAUGAAAUGGUUUAAAAAAGCUCGAUCCAGCGUUCUUCUGCUGCGUUACUCUCUGCUGGAGUGUCUCUGAACCGUCUGUUCCAAAGUCCCUGUCUGGACCUCUGCUCACUCUCAAGCACCGCUCGUGGAUCACCAAACUCCCGAAAAAAAUCUACUACUUUGUAAAUUUUUUUGAGUUUUUGUAUUUAGAAAUUAUCAAUUACAUUGUGGGCUCUUUUUCACCUUCUCUUAUGAUGAUUGUACUUGUUAAAUUCAAUUUUUUUUCGGAUUUAACCUCACAAAUGCUAUUUGUCACAUAAACGUCAGUGCGCUAAAUAGGGCGCCAUCUACGGUUUCAAAAAAACCGCUGAAGCUUAUCGAUGCGCCAGGCCUGAACAACGAAGUUGUCUCCAUACAUCAAGGAGGCCAUGGUA